CUGAGCUGAAAUCAGGCUGUGAUGGGACCUGGAAAUUAGAACUGGCAGAGAAAUAGUUCAGAUGCAAUCUUCAUCUGUAAGAAUCUAAAAUUAAAAUAGUAUAUUCAUGGCCCGGGCUGUAUAUCAUCAGUACUAGGAAACUCUCAUCAGCUGCAGAUGGGAAAGAACAUGUGAUCUGGAAUUAGAACACAGAAGCCAACUUGGUUGGUACCUCAUCAAUGGAUAUAUUCCCAGAUAUCAAAAUCUUAUCAAAACGUGAGGUUCCACUCAUGAGGUUCUGAGCAGAAAAUCCAAACUUCUGACUUGAGAUGCACAUUGUGAACUGCAAUAGAUUUGCAAAUAAUGGAGAUUCGGUUCUAGUUUCCGGAGAGAGAAAAUGAAAAAAAAAAACUGACGAAAGUAGUUGAUGAGGGGAGUUGGCCCACUGAGGUGAAAUCUCCGUUUGCAUCUUUUUAAAUCCUAAAUUCCAUUUAAAUAUUAUUCAAGAUAUAAUGACCUGAAAUAAAGAUUAAACUUUUAAAAGUA
Long non-coding RNA from Rattus norvegicus (Norway rat), 525 nucleotides. RefSeq lists it as uncharacterized. The record is from RefSeq and is a predicted model, not a curated record. NCBI's taxonomy places the organism in Eukaryota, Metazoa, Chordata, Mammalia, Rodentia, Muridae.